CAUGAGCCCUAGAGCAAUGCCCUAAAGAUCAUGCAAGGCCUAAGAUGAACAAAAAAUCUAAUAAAAUCCACAAUUAAUUCAUUUAUUUAGAUAGACGAAUCAACAUGUCCAGAUAAUCAAAUUGAUUCAAUUACAAAAUCUUCAAAUGCUCAUCAUCAUCAAGAAAGAUAAACUAACUAGCUAGCUAAUAACUCUGAUACUCGUUCUCUGCGCCCAACCCAUCCAUGUAUGCAUCCUGCAACUCUGAAAGAGAAAGAAGAAGGGGGUGAGCUUUACAGCCCAGUAAGAACCCCUACACAUCCAUACCAACACAAUAGUAAUAUGAAUUUUGAAAACCACGGCAAAACGAUGCACACUUCAUGAGAUCAUAAACCGGCUAUCAAAAGACUCAAGUAAUCAAUAUAAGUUUGUACGUCAAACAUCAAUGAAAGUCCAGUCACACAAGAAUGAUAUAGCAUAGGAUAACUCAUAUAUAUUCAUUACUGUGUUCUUUUUUUUUCCAUUCUAUAUUAACUUGAUCCGGAUCAAUUAUCUUUCCGACUUUGGGCCAAAUCCCGGUCACAUUUCCAGCCCGUGACAGGGCAAACCAAUAGUGUCACACUUAGAGCCUGUGACGGGCAAACCAACAUUGUCACACUUAANNNNNNNNNNNNNNNNNUCAACAUUGUCACACUUAGAGCCUGUGACGGGCAACCAAUAGUGUCACACUUAGAGCCUGUGACGGGCAAACCAAUAGUGUCACACUUAGAGCCUGUGACGGGCAAACCCAUAAUAACGAGACGGCCCAAAGUCAAUGUUCAUUUAAUCAAUUUCACAUCCACACAUCAAUCCCUUUUAUUUACAACUAUAGACUAAUCCGGUCACGUUUCCAGCCCGUGACGGGGCAACCAAUAUUAACAAGGUUAGUCUAUAGUACCACAUCCAUAAAUCCAAUUAUACAGGUGUAGGUUAUGCACAUGCAUACAUCAUAAUAUCAAUCACAAGCCAACACAAUCAAAAUAUAGUUUAAUAUAACAAUUUUGAUUUGUCUGGAUCAUAGCAUAUUAAUUCAGAUCGUAGCAUAUUAUACAUAUAUAAGUAUAAAAAUAUUUAUAUUAUGCAGGAUUGGC
This 1109-nucleotide long non-coding RNA is filed under the name Phoenix dactylifera (date palm). RNAcentral's name for it is "long non-coding RNA (PDAC_LNC001056)". The record is from RNAcentral. Lineage: Eukaryota; Viridiplantae; Streptophyta; Magnoliopsida; Arecales; Arecaceae.